AGAGUUUGAUCCUGGCUCAGAGCGAACGCUGGCGGCAGGCUUAACACAUGCAAGUCGAACGCUCGUAGCAAUACGGGAGUGGCAGACGGGUGAGUAACGCGUGGGAACAUGCCCUUUGGUUCGGAAUAACUCAGGGAAACUUGAGCUAAUACCGGAUAAGCCCCGUAAGGGGGAAAGAUUUAUCGCCGAAGGAUUGGCCCGCGUCCGAUUAGCUAGUUGGUGAGGUAAUGGCUCACCAAGGCGACGAUCGGUAGCUGGUCUGAGAGGAUGAUCAGCCACACUGGGACUGAGACACGGCCCAGACUCCUACGGGAGGCAGCAGUGGGGAAUAUUGGACAAUGGGGGCAACCCUGAUCCAACCAUGCCGCGUGAGUGAUGAAGGCCCUAGGGUUGUAAAGCUCUUUCGACGGGGACGAUAAUGACGGUACCCGUAGAAGAAGCCCCGGCUAACUUCGUG
RNAcentral lists this ribosomal RNA (457 nucleotides) under uncultured Methylocystaceae bacterium. Its description in RNAcentral is "bacterial SSU rRNA". It matches the Rfam family "Bacterial small subunit ribosomal RNA", at positions 8 to 507 of the family's 1533-position model. Lineage: Bacteria; Pseudomonadati; Pseudomonadota; Alphaproteobacteria; Hyphomicrobiales; Methylocystaceae. The record is from RNAcentral.